This 871-nucleotide ribosomal RNA is filed under the name uncultured crenarchaeote. Its description in RNAcentral is "bacterial SSU rRNA". It matches the Rfam family "Archaeal small subunit ribosomal RNA", at positions 1 to 879 of the family's 1478-position model. The record is from RNAcentral. Lineage: Archaea; Thermoproteati; Thermoproteota.
UUCCGGUUGAUCCUGCCGGACCUGACUGCUAUCGGAUUGAUACUAAGCCAUGCGAGUCAUUGUAGCAAUACAAGGCAGACGGCUCAGUAACGCGUAGUCAACCUACCCUAUGGACGGGAAUAACCUCGGGAAACUGAGUAUAAUGCCCGAUAGAACACUAUACCUGGAAUGGUUUGUGUUUCAAAUAAUUUAUUGCCGUAGGAUGGGACUGCGGCCUAUCAGUUUGUUGGUGAGGUAAUGGCCCACCAAGACUAUUACAGGUACGGGCUCUGAGAGGAGUGGCCCGGAGAUGGGUACUGAGACACGGACCCAGGCCCUAUGGGGCGCAGCAGGCGAGAAAACUUUGCAAUGUGCGAAAGCACGACAAGGUUAAUCCGAGUGGUUUCUGCUAAAGGAACCUUUUGACAGUCCUAGAAACACUGUUGAAUAAGGGGUGGGCAAGUUCUGGUGUCAGCCGCCGCGGUAAAACCAGCACUUCAAGUGGUCAGGAUGAUUAUUGGGCCUAAAGCAUCCGUAGCCGGCUCUGUAAGUUUUCGGUUAAAUCUGUACGCUUAACGUACAGGCCGCCGGGAAUACUGCAGGGCUAGGGAGUGGGAGAGGUAGACGGUACUCGGGAGGAAGUGGUAAAAUGCUUUGAUCUCUCGAUGACCACCUGUGGCGAAGGCGGUCUACCAGAACACGUCCGACGGUGAGGGAUGAAAGCUGGGGGAGCAAACCGGAUUAGAUACCCGGGUAGUCCCAGCUGUAAACUAUGCAAACUCAGUGAUGCAUUGGCUUGUGGCCAAUGCAGUGUUGCAGGGAAGCCGUUAAGUUUGCCGCCUGGGAAGUACGUACGCAAGUAUGAAACUUAAAGGAAUUGGCGGGGGAGCAC